Molecule: small RNA, 94 nt
Filed under: Salmonella enterica subsp. enterica serovar Derby
Lineage: Bacteria; Pseudomonadati; Pseudomonadota; Gammaproteobacteria; Enterobacterales; Enterobacteriaceae
Also listed under: 3 other names
Description: partial RtT sRNA
Rfam family: RtT RNA
About the family: This family represents a bacterial cis-regulatory element known as RtT RNA. The exact function of RtT is unknown although it is thought that it may be involved in changing the cellular response in relation to amino acid starvation.
Source: RNAcentral
UGUAUCUGAAGUCUGACGAGGAUGAGAACCUCCGGGGGCAAGAGGUUCGACUCGAGCGAAGCGAGAGAACGUUGCGUCAGCAACGGCCCGCAGG